CUACGGAGGGUGCGAGCGUUAAUCGGAAUUACUGGGCGUAAAGCGUGCGUAGGCGGUUUGCUAAGUCAGAUGUGAAAGCCCCGGGCUUAACCUGGGAACUGCAUUUGAUACUGGCAGACUAGAGUAUGAUAGAGGGGGGUAGAAUUCCUGGUGCAGCGGUGAAAUGCGUAGAUAUCAGGAGGGAUACCAGUGGCGAAGGCGGCCCCCUGGAUCAAUACUGACGCUGAGGUACGAAAGCGUGGGGAGCGAACAGGAUUAGAAACCCUAGUAGUCC
RNAcentral lists this ribosomal RNA (274 nucleotides) under uncultured bacterium. RNAcentral's name for it is "partial 16S ribosomal RNA". It matches the Rfam family "Bacterial small subunit ribosomal RNA", at positions 523 to 796 of the family's 1533-position model. The record is from RNAcentral.